GAUGAACGCUGGCGGCGUGCCUAAUACAUGCAAGUCGAGCGAACAGACGAGGAGCUUGCUCCUCUGACGUUAGCGGCGGACGGGUGAGUAACACGUGGAUAACCUACCUAUAAGACUGGGAUAACUUCGGGAAACCGGAGCUAAUACCGGAUAAUAUAUUGAACCGCAUGGUUCAAUAGUGAAAGACGGUUUUGCUGUCACUUAUAGAUGGAUCCGCGCCGCAUUAGCUAGUUGGUAAGGUAACGGCUUACCAAGGCAACGAUGCGUAGCCGACCUGAGAGGGUGAUCGGCCACACGGGAACUGAGACACGGUCCAGACUCCUACGGGAGGCAGCAGUAGGGAAUCUUCCGCAAUGGGCGAAAGCCUGACGGAGCAACGCCGCGUGAGUGAUGAAGGUCUUCGGAUCGUAAAACUCUGUUAUUAGGGAAGAACAAAUGUGUAAGUAACGAUGCACGUCUUGACGGUACCUAAGCAGAAAGCCACGGCUAACUACGU
This 496-nucleotide ribosomal RNA is filed under the name uncultured bacterium. Its description in RNAcentral is "partial 16S ribosomal RNA". It matches the Rfam family "Bacterial small subunit ribosomal RNA", at positions 28 to 506 of the family's 1533-position model. The record is from RNAcentral.